GUGAAUCAUCGAAUUUUUGAACGCAAAUUGCACUCCCUGGUAUUCCGGGGAGUAUGCCUGUUUGAGGGUCGUUAGAACAAAAAAUCUAUGCGUCGCUCUUUUUUUUUAGGGUGUUCGCUGCGGAAUAGAGCCGUCUUUCAAAUGUUAAUUCAUGUCAAAGUGGCUUAGAAUUCAUCCAUACGGUAUGACUAAGGCAUCUUUAAGAUCAGCUU
Molecule: unclassified non-coding RNA, 212 nt
Filed under: Glomeraceae sp.
Lineage: Eukaryota; Fungi; Glomeromycota; Glomeromycetes; Glomerales; Glomeraceae
Description: partial contains 5.8S ribosomal RNA and internal transcribed spacer 2
Rfam family: 5.8S ribosomal RNA (bases 1-71)
Source: RNAcentral